This is a long non-coding RNA of Homo sapiens (human), 1649 nucleotides long. Ensembl annotates it as prostate cancer associated transcript 19. Its record names the gene PCAT19. The record is from Ensembl. NCBI's taxonomy places the organism in Eukaryota, Metazoa, Chordata, Mammalia, Primates, Hominidae.
GUUAUUUGACUGGAGUGAGGUCUCAUGUCUGCUUAUGCGGUGGCUCGCUGCUCAGAACAGGAUGGCAGAGAUGAGCACCACCAUCAAAAACUCAAGGACCAGUGCUGUGGGUCCAGUCAUCUGUUUCAUGGAAUUCACCAGUCUGGUAUCUUCAAAAUCCAGAAGGAUGAUGGCAGAUGGCAGGAAGGUAAUGCAAACGUCAUCAGGUGUGACCCCACUGUAGCAGCUGUGAUGGAUGUUUUCUCUCACCAUAGCAAUAAAUAACACAACCUCGGUCACACUGUAUGCAUUGUUGGUCUGCAAAAUCCAUGUUUUGCAAAACUCUUCAGGAAGGUGGAUCUGUAAUAUUGGCAUUGACAUGAGAACAACAGCAGUAUUUAUUCACAAUCUCAAGCUCUCUGUCUUCCCGUCUCUCUCAUUAGCCAUCCAAGUAGUCCUGAGGAACCAAGCCCAUCAGAACAUUCUGCAACAUAAUACACAGCUCCAUUCUCCAUUCAAAUUUUGUUGUUGUUGUUGUUGUUGAUGAGACAACAUCUUACUCCAUCAGCCAGGCUGACGUACAGUGGGGCUAUCUGGGCUGACUGUAGUCUUGAGCUUCCAGGCUCAAGGCAUCCUCUCACCUCAGCCUCCUAAGUGGCUUGAACUACAGACACACAGCGACAUGCUGGGCUAGUUUUUGUAUAUUUUGUAGAGACGUGCUCUCACCAUGUUAUUCAGGCUGGACUCAAACUCCUGAGCGUAAGUGAUCCAAGCACCUUGGCCUCAAAGUGCUGAGAUUACAAGCCUGAGCCACUGCACCCAGCCCAAUCUCCAUUCUACUGAUAACAAUGUCAUUACCAGGUCUGAUGGACAGGAAAUGGUAAGGUUUCUGAAAACCUAAGGAUCACACAGCGAGUUCCAAAGGCUGAAAGUGCAUACCUGUCGACACUGAUACCAAUGACAUCCAAUGGAACCAUUGGAGAUACUCAUUACUCUUUGAAGGCUUACAGUGGAAUGAAUUCAAAUACGACUUAUUUGAGGAAUUGAAGUUGACUUUAUGGAGCUGAUAAGAAUCUUCUUGGAGAAAAAAAGACUGGAUCUUUCAUUGUAGUACUUCUGAAUUAACCAAAAUCACAGUAUUCUGAAGAUGAUUCUACAAAGCCUGCUGUUUCUACAAAGGCUGCUGAUGAUUUCUACAAAGCCUGCUGUAGUGUUGCUGUGGCCUCUGCUUAAAAAAGUAGAAAACACAUUGAUGCAGCAUGUUCACCCCAACCUCCCUGCCUAAAGGCUCAGGGACCAUCUUGGAAGAGGAAGGCGCGUGAGAUUGUAAGAGCCGAAUUAGGGGGAUGGAGUGUGGAGAAUAAGGACACUUCAUCUUGGAUGCUCACCUGCCAAAUUGACUUCUGAUGAAAGCCAGCUCCAGAAAUGUGCCUACAGUUACUACUUUCACCUAAACCCUGCCCUUAGUCAAAUCCUUCUCUUCUUCUAAGCAAUCAACUUCAAUUCCUUGUAUAACCCACAGUAUAAAAGGGCUUUUAUACCAUUCUAUCCUAUUGCAUGUAAGCCUUGGGUCUGGGAGGUAACAGUGUGGGAUUCCACCAUCUCAUCUCCCUGCCACCCAAACAUGCCUGCUCUUCUUUAAGCAAUAUUAAAUGUUUGUACUUCAGAAA